RNAcentral lists this long non-coding RNA (16364 nucleotides) under Gossypium raimondii (Peruvian cotton). RNAcentral describes it as "long non-coding RNA (GRAI_LNC007805)". Lineage: Eukaryota; Viridiplantae; Streptophyta; Magnoliopsida; Malvales; Malvaceae. The record is from RNAcentral.
UUCAAGCCCCUCUAGUGUUAAUUGGAGUGACUAUUCUCACUAAUAAUAUAUCCAAAGUCUUUGGAGUGGCGACAACAAUAACAAGAGGAGUUACUUCACCAUUAAUCACGGAGGUCACACUUCUGGCUGGCAGUCGAAGGCAUUUCCUCUUUUAGUACUACGGUAAGUUUUGGUCAAGCUAGAUAAUUUGAGAAUUAAUAAGGCUACCAUCAUUACUAAGGAUUAAAAAGGGAGGAAACGAUAGGUAUGAGGAAAUUGGUCCAUUGAAUGUUAGAGUUGGUGCAGUUGUAUAUUUCUCAUUUCUUAGUUAUAUUCAGUAAAAUUUAUGAAAAAAUUACUUAUAAAAAGAACAGAGGUCAUAAAUACUAGAGCAAUGAUUCUUUAAUGAGGAAAUAUUGAAUAAUAUUCAAAUAACGAUAGUAGAGAUAAAUCAAAGAUUAUUCGGUAAACUACACUCAUUAAUAUCACUCUAAAAAUUAAUAUAAUUAUUCGAAUUAGUCAUUUUUAUUAAAAAUUCUAUUAAUUCACUAACGGAUUGUUGAUGUGGCACAUUAGUCAAUUGAAUAAAGACACGUGAUACUUUUUUUUAACUUGAGUUUCGUGAACCGUGAACGUUACAGCUCUUCAGGCAUGGGUUUUCUGUUCUUCAUGGGUACUAACUGAAGCGUUUUGUUUGUGCAGGAAAACUAGAAUUUGGAUGGGAACAUUUGAAACGACAGAAGAUAGCCAUUUGAGAUUUCCAUUUUCCCUUUUGCAGGUUUGAAAAUGCAAUAGGGAGUAAAGAUGUGUUUCAACUACAGGGAGAGAGGAGUGGCAUGCCUUUCAAGAAAGUGUUGAUGUAACUCUUCACCUAUUCAGAUACUUCUAAUUUGGCUAAUACCAAAAGAAAAUGUUGAAGUUCGUGGACAUGUGUAACCAUAUGCAAUAAGUGUUAAUUGUUGUAUGCCAAAUAUGCAUCUUUUUAGUGAUGAAUCCAUAAAUAAUCUUGGUUAGUCAUAUUUUAUUGUUAAAGGAUAAAGAUAGUUGCAUGAAAAUGUAGUGUCAUGGGUUGUAACAUGACAUAUGGUCAUUACUGUGAGGCUUUAGUUUUGUUUGUCAUUGAUAUUGAUUGCUGAUUAUCAUUAUCAUGAUCAAUGCCGAAGCGACCACAAUAACAACCAUAAAUUGACAUUCUUGAGUGUCUUAGCUUUUCUCAAAGGAUGACUGUUUCUCAGCUGUGGUUCUAGUUUUCUGAGCUACAGAGAGAAGAGAAAGAAAAAAGAAAGUAUUUUGGAAUAAUUACAGAGAGAUUGUUAAAUUUUAGUUAAAAAUGUCAAAAAGUGUCACAUGUUGUCAUUCAAUUGGCUAAUCUGUCACAUCAACAAUCCGUUAGUGGAUUAACGAAAUUUUUAGUGACACUGACCAAUUCAAACAAUUAUAUUAAUUCGAGUGACUAAAUUGACAAAAAAAAAUUAGAGUGACUAAAAUAGGAACAACACUACUUUAAAGCGAUCUUUAGUGUAGUUUACUUAAGAUUAUUUUAAUUAAACGAUGAGCUAAUAUAAUAUUAUGAUAUUUCAGUAUAACAAAAAUUGUCAUUUAUAAAAUAAACUUAUUUUGAUUUAUUUUUACGUGCUAUAGAAAAAUGAAAUCAUGACAAACAAUUGGAGUGUAUUUAAUAAUCUUAAUAUGAUAUAUUUAUCUAUUUCAAAAAAAAAAUUUACUAACAAAUUAUCUCGACAACAACUUAGAAUUGAUGACAAAACAAUAAUAAACAAUUGUAUUCAUUUAGUAUUCUUAAAACUUUCUGUAUAAUUUUUUUUCAUUUUAAUAUCAUAAAAAUCCAAUGUUUUACUAAUGAGUUCCAAACCAUUACUUUUAUUAUUUAUUGUAUGUUAUUUACACAUACCUCUGUAUUUUAAAUAUAUAAUUUCUAUAUGCGUGUGACAAAUACAUAAUUUUCAUAUACAUACACAUGUGAUAAUAUUUAUAGUAUUUAUAAUGUUAUAUUAAUAAUUUAGUGUUUAAAAUAUGUUAAAUUUUUAAUAUUUAAAAUUAAGAGCAAAAGAGAAAAAAAACAAGUUCAAACUUUAAAACUUACAACAUACAAUUGGCACCAUGUGCGACACCUGAAGUAGCACCAUGUGAUAGUCAUUCGGAUGAUACUCACCAUUUGGUUUUUUUUUUUUUUUAUAUUAUGUAUAUUCAUUUUACGAUACAUGUUUAAGAUUCGUGGUUGUCUCUUUUAAUAAUGUUGUCUUUAAAAUUCGAACUUAUAAUCUCAAUUUAAUAAUAUCGAUUAUUAAUACAGACGAUAGUGAUGAUAAUAGAUUAUUAUACUUCAAACUUAAUAAUUAACUUUCUUUUUCUCAUUUUCAUAUAAAAAAUUUAACAACUCAACUUUAAUAUAGAUUAUAGUGAUGAGGAGGAGAGGAACAAGCCAUCUGAGACUUGAUCUUUUGUGCAUCAUGCAGUAGGUUUUAGGGUUUACUCUUGGGACUUUUAGCAAUUGUUUUUUGGUUGAUCGGUGUUUAUCGUUAGAUUAAUUUGAUGAUGAUGAGACUAGAACGUAAAUUUCAGUGAUGUGAUUAAAUUGAUGUAUAUUUUAAAAAAAAUUCAAUUAUUCUGCUGAUAUGAUAUUUGUGGAAUGGUUUAUAGUGAUUUAUUUACCCAUCUCUUCCUAGGUUUUAGUUGUAUAAACUUACAAAAACAAAUCUAAUUUCUCACCACCAUCUGCAUGCAAAAAAACCUACGUGUUGAAACUUGAAACCCUACAUUACACGUACUGGCCAUGCAAAGGCCAAAAUCCAUUAUAAAUACCCUUUCAUCCGCCAUCCCCAUUUCUCACCAUCACAUACAUCAAUCAAUCCAGUUAUAUAUAUCAAUCAACCAUGGCAAAGCUUGCUCUCCUCGUAGCUACUUUCGCUCUUGCUUUCUUCCUCGUCAACGCCUCCAUCUACCGCACCAGCAUCACCCCCGGCGGCGACGAAGAAACCUGGUCCCGACACGGUCGGCAGUCGUGCCAAGACCAGAUAUGGCGGCAAGGCUACCUCCCAAACUGUCAGAGGUACAUGAACGAAGAGACCGGCAGCAGCCACCACCGAUACAGCAGUCACUACCUCAACUCCUGCUGCGACGAGCUCGAGAACCUGAGGGAGGAUUGCCGGUGCCAAGGCUUGAAACAUGCGUUAGGACAACAGCUGAAGCUGCAGGGAGUACGGUGGGAGAGUCCAGAGGCUGAAGAUAUGUGUGAAGCGGCAGAGACGGCACUGAAUAGGUGUGGUUUAGAAUCUAGGAGAUGUGAUAUGCAUAGUGGAAGAUGGCUUUAGAUAUAAAAUCUAAGACCCUAAAAUGCUAAACGCAAAAUAAGUGUAAUGCAUGCAAUGCAUGUUGUUUAGUUGUUCACCGGAUGAGGUUUUUGUAGUAUAUCUUAUAUGAAUAAAGCACAUUAUCGUGUGCAUUGCGUUUAGUAUUUUUAACUCUUAUAUCUAUCCAUAUAUAUUACACUAUAAUUAUAAUUUUGCGGCUAUAUAUGAAGAAAUGGUAAAAUUUAAAUUUUAGUUUAAACCAUUUAUAUCAGAUUAAUCUAUACCUAAUUCUCAACAAAUUUGAAUUUAUUUGAUUUUUUUCUCAUUUAGAGUUCGAGUUCGCGAUUGGAUGCAUGUUUCAGUAUUAAGCGAUAUCGCUGCCACUAACAGUAAAUAAAUGCACCGUCUAUUUAAAUUUAUCACCCACCAUUUUAGAGUAACAAUAAGUAAAUGCAUCGUAUAUCUAAACCUAUCUAAACCCACCCACCAUUUGAUCUAAACCUAUCUAAACUCACCCACCAUUUGAGAGUAACAAUAAAUAAAUGCAUCUUCCUUCCAAACUUAUCUAAACCCACUCGCCAUUCGAGACCUAUCUAAACUCUAGAUUAUUAAUUCAAAAAUCUAGAAAGAAAUAUUACCCAAUUAAAUAAUCUCAAAUUUUAUUUGAUAGUAUUUUUUAAUAAAAAUAUUUUUAAUGAAUUUUGAAUAUGUUAAAAAAUUAUUUUAAUAUUUUUAAUGUAUUUAAUGUAUUAUUUUAAAAAAACGAUUUAAACUUAAUUAGAUCCAGAUUUUUAAAAAAAAUUGGGAUGAAUUUAGAAAAAAAAAUUAAAUUUUUAAUUAAAUCGUAUUUAAACUUGAAAAUUUAAUUUAAAUUCUUUGUAUAAAUUCAACUCGAAUCUCACCUGAUACAUUUAUUAUUAUAUAUAUAUAUUUAAAAUAUUUGUCUAUUUUUAUAUAUAUUUAAAUUUAUAUAUUAUUAUUUCUUUAUCACCAAUCAUUUUUUUGUUUUCAUAUAUUUUAAAAUUUACUAUUAUAUCAUUUUUUAAAAUAUUUAUGUACUUUUAUAUAUUUACUUAAUUUUUUUUAGAAUUAGAAUUAAAUUAAGAUUAUUUAUAAAUUUUGAGGGUUAAUUUUCUAGAAUGAGUCGAUGCAAUAAGUAAAAAUUAUAGGCUAAAUUGAUUAUUAUACUGAUUUUUUAAUUGCCACGUCAGUUUGCCGUUUAUAAUUUUAGUGGGAGUGACUAAAAUGACCGUACUAUAUAACGUGAGCGCUUAAAUUACUAACUUUUAUUUUGAAUGCCUAAAAUAAUUUUUUAUAGUUGGGUGACUAUUUAUGUAGUUUAUCCUUUUCUUAAGAUAGAAUCAUAGAAACUUUUGGCUCAUCAUCAAGGUCAGUUUAUUUUGUGCACAUAUAGUAUAUGAUGAAAUUGAAAUUGACGUAUUCAUGUAUAUGUAUAAGUAAGCAUGCUAUAUAGCUUAAGAAAAACAUGAAAAACAUGUUACAUGUAUUUAUCACUACAUUUUAAUCAUUCAAAUCGAAAAUAAAAAUUUUGUAUAUUUUUAAAAGGUUUUAGAUUUAUGAGUAACUUGCUUAAAUCAAAGUUUUUAAUUUUGAUUUAGGCUUAGUUAGGAUGGGUUACCUGCGGUUAGUAUAAAAAUAACGGUGGCGGUAAGAUUAAAUACUAUAGCAAUAUUAUAGCGUGAGAGAAAAAGUAAACUAAACACACUGCACCGCACCGCACCGCACCACACCACACCACACCCAACCACCCAUCUGAACCGGCCCUUAAUUUCCUUCAUACUCGCAUUUUAGAUUAGUUGAGAAAUAUUAGCAUGGUUCAGACCAGUAGGAAAAACAACAAAAAUAUCUAUUUUUCAUCCUCCAAUUUUACAAAAAUAUCAUUUUAACCCUCAAAAUAAAUUCUUGUCACUUUUAACCUUCAAAUCACAAUGUUUGUCAAAAUGGCCCAAAAUGGUGAAAAACUUAAUAGGUCGUCAACUCAGGGGUGAAGCCAAAAAAAAAAUUUAGGGGCUAAAAUUAAAUUGUAAUUUUAUGAUAGUAAAAAUGCAAUUCACCAUUUUAAUAGUAUAUAUCUUUAUGAUUUUUAAAAGAUUAAAUCAAAUUUUUAUUAUUUUUAAAGAAACCAAAGUGUAAUUUUACCGUUACUAAUUUAAAUUUUUUAAAAUUUUAAAAAACCUAAAUGAGAAUGUUUUCAUUUUAGGGGGUCGGAGUCCUACCAACCCCUAAUUACGCCCCUACAUUAACUGUAUGAUGUGGCACGCCAGGGUGUUAAAAAGUUUAACACGUGAAAUUUCAUGUUUGAUACUUUUUGUAACGCUUUUUAAGUUUUAGGUUGGUAAUUUUUUGUAUCGGGUUAGUUCUCAAAUUUUUUUCCUUCAACUAAAUUAAUACUUUUUUGUAACGUAUUCAAGUUCAAGACAGAUGACAAAAAUAUAAUUAUGACAUGUAACAUUAAUGACAUUAUCAUGAUUUAAAAAAUAUAUUAAAAAUCAAUAAAAUCAAUUUAUUCAGAAAAAUAAAAUUUAUUUCUCCCUCCGGUAAUUAUUAUCACUUUCCCAGAAAAAUAUUUAACCCAUAACCAAAAUAUGAACUCUUCACUGUCAGCUUCCAUCACUGUAGACCCUUCUCCCUCGCCCAUUGUUUGCGUAUGGCCCCCGCUCUGCCUACUGUGAUUGAACCACCGACGGCAGCUGUCGUGCUUCCGAUUUCAGACCGCCCUUCUUACUCGGACAUGAUAAUUGAGGCUAUUAGUGCUGUGAAAGAGAAUAAUGGGUCAAGCAAAAGAGUCACUUCUAAGAUUUAGUUUAUCAUUACUUAAAAAAAAGGUACAAAAUUACUUUUGAGCAGAAGUUAAAAUUUUUGCUUCUUUAAAAAAUACUUUGCAAUAGAUUUUCUUUUCCAAAAACACUUUUCUAUAUUCUUAUAAAAAUUAUUGGGUAAAUUACAAAAAUGGUCACUUUUGUUUAUCUUAGAUUACAUUUUAGUCAUUUAUGUUUGAAAUGUUACGUUUUAGUCACUUACGUUAUUGUUUUAUUACAAAGUGGUCACUCUACCGUUAAACUCCAUUACCUCCCUAACGAUAAUCCUAUAUGUCAAUCCAAAUAGAUUUUAAAUGUCAACUUAAAAGUCCAGUUACUCGGAUGAAAAUAGGUUUUUAAUUAAAUAAAUAUAAUUUGGACUGCCACAUAGAACAUCCAAGUUGACAUUUAAAAUCUAUUUGGACCGCCAUGUAGGACCGCCGCUAGGUAAUAGAGCUUAACAGUAGAGUGACCACUCCGUAACAAAACAAUAACGUGAGUGACUAAAACAUAACAUUUUAAACAUAAAUGACUAAAAUGUAAUCUAAGACAAAUAAAAUUGACUAUUUUAUUGUUUACCCAACAUUAUUUGAUUCUCCCUCCAUCUUCCAAUCUAUCUAAUUCCUUCCCUAUGACAAAUUAAUUUUCCAUCCAAACCCUAACAAAAAUCCCAAUUUUCCUUUUUUUUUUCAUCUCAAAUGGCACCUUAUUCUCCCUCCAUCUUCCAAUCUAUCUAAUUCCCUUCCCUAUGGCAAAUUAAUUUUCCAUCCAAACCCUAACAAAAAUCCCAAUUUUCCUUUUUUUUUUCAUCUCAAAUGGCACCUUUGGACCCUCACUCCUUCAUCAACUCUUACCACCCUUUAACCACUGACAUCUCCCUUUCCCUUUACUUAAACUUCCCUUCCACCACCAUCCACGGCGCCGCUUUCUUCAUCCAAUACACUAUUCACUGCCUCCGAAUAAACCCUAGUCAUCGGUCCAACUUCCCUAAAACCCAGCUCCCCAACUGCAAACGCGAACAAAUACGGCGGGAUCGGUUGGUUCAUCUGAAAUUCCUCGACUACCCUCGUUUCGGAACACCACAACGAGUUAAACCCACCACGCAACAAUGCGAAUGUCCUUCGCCGGCAACCAGUGACCUCCUAUCGACAUGGCGGGCGGACAUAACGGCGCAUAACUCCCGAGGGACGUUGAGCAAAGCAGAGUAACGGGUUCUAGCCGCGGGAGUGUCUUGACAUGGGAAAAUGGAAUGCGCGUGGAUAGACUGGCAUUGGGUAUAAACAAAAGAUUGUUUUUUCUUAAACGUUUGCGGCGAUGAUAGCCAUUGGAAAGCAGAUGAAGAAGGGGAAGUAGAGAAAACGAUGAAGAAGGAGUUCAAAAUGUUGUCGUUUGGUAGCGAAAUGGAAAGCUGGGUGCCCGUUCGGAACUCCGAUAGCUGUAGACGGUGGCGGCUAGGGUUCAUUCGGGGAAGAAGAAAAAAUAAAUGAAAAGAAAUUGAGAAAAAGAAGGGGGAAAUGGAAAUAAUUUUUAAAAACAUUUUUAUUAAUUUUUAAUAUAUUUUUUAGAUUAUGACAUUAUUAUGAUAUCAUCAAUGUCACUGUCACAAUCAUAUUUUGCCAUCUGUUUAGAAUUUAGCGUGUUAUAAUAAAUAAUGAUUUAAUUGACAGAAAAAAAAUUGAUUAUCAAUUUGAAAUAAGAAAUUUGAGUAUGAAUUUUAUAUCUAAAUAACUCUUCAAAAACAAACAUUCGAAACUCCAAAGAUUGGGGGUUUCAAAUCCCUAAACCCCAACAUUUAAUCAUGUCACAAAAAGAAAAUAAAGAGCUAUAAAACUCAGUGUAAAUGAGGAAUUCAAAGUGGUUUAGAAUAGACUCAGCAAAAUUGGAUUUAAAUAAAAAAUUUUAAAAUUUUAAGUUAAUCGAAUUGAGGUGUUUGAGUUAUUCGAGUCAACUCAAGUAAGCGAGUUCAAGUCUAGUUGAAUUUUACAAUUCGAAUUAUUUCGAUUAACAAAUUGGUGUAAAUAUUCUUUUUAAUCCCUGUUAAUUUUGAAAGCAAAUUCAUCUCUCUCUCAACAAAAAUUACAAAAAAUUUUAAAAUAUUUAUAAAAUUUUAUAUUUUAUAUUUUUAAAAGAUUAUAAUUUUUUUAAAAGAAUCUAAAGAAUAUAUAAAAAAAAGUUAAAAUUUUUCUAAAAUAAUAAUUUUGGGACCUAAAUAAGUUAAUUAGUGAUUCAAGUUUAUCAUACUAAAGUUUUAUUUUUCUUUUUGCUUUGAAAAAGUUUUCAAAUUUAUGUGCUCUAACGUGAAAUUAGUUAUACUAUAAAUAUUUUCCCUAGUACCUAUUUUGAGUCUGAAUCCAUUUUCUUGAUGAACCAUAAAUGAAAUUUCAAGCCUAUUAUAUAUUCUAUUUGAUUCAUUAUUUCCUUGUCCUUGCACGGAUUUAGACAUUUGGCCAUUGAUAUUAAGGGAUUAGGUCGAUACAUCACGGUAGUUUUAAAAGAAAAGAAAAAAAUGAGUGAACUAAGGAAUUGUAUGGUAUAGUACGUAUAAGAUUUCUUGAGCUUGUAAAAAAUUAAGGCAAAAUGUCAAAUCGAGAAAAUCUCAUUGAAAAAAAUAUAUACGAGCUCAGAUGAUUGUACUCAUGCGUAAUAUACGAUGCCUUAGUAAAUGGAGAGAUAAGGAAAGUGAGGGAAGUGGAUAUAAGGUGGUGAGUUAUACGUAUACUUGGGAGCAUAUCGGGAAGAAUAGAAUGUGUCAAACUACUUUCAUGCUUAAUUAUUCUGUCGAGCCUGUUCCUUAAAUUCUAAACCAACCUAAGUUGCAAAACCUUACAAGUUGAAAAGUCCUAUGUGACGUAGGUAGUACAUUAUGUGAAGGACAUUGUGUCAAUGGUUGAUAUUUUUACCACUUAUAUUCAUUUGAACAUACUUGUAUAUUUAUAUAUGUUUUAUGGAAACCUAUACUUAACAUUCUUUUAUUUGUUUGCUUUGUAAGUUAUUGAACUAACUUGUCUAAUUUUAGAAAUUGUGAGUCAAUUGUAUAUCACUCUAGAGUUAUAUGUUUAUUUACAUUAUCUUGUUAAUAUAUUUUUGUGCAAUUUCCUAUAUCAAGCUGGCUCAAGUACAUUUUCUUUUCUGUGCAUGUUUAUUUCAUGUUUUUAAUUCAGUUUGUUUUCGGUUUUUAAUUUAUUUUUAUUUAGUUUGCUUGAGAACAAGCAAAGACUUAAGUGUGGGGUAUUUGACCUGUUGUCAAAUGUAGUAGUUAUUUCGGGUUAUUUCCGCAUUUAAGGAGCUUGUUUUAAACUAGCCAAUUUAGUAUUUUAUAUUAUGUUUUCGAUAUUUAGUAGUUAGGAUGAAAUGUUAGUAAAAAUAAAUGUUUUUAACACUAUUUAUGAGUGUUGUGACCUAUGAGGCAGACACGGGCCUUAGGUAGUGCUAAUGUGUGUAAUUGAAUGUGUAGGAUGAUGAAUUAUAAGUCCGAUUGACGUGGGAGCAAAGGACGAAUGAUGCAUAAGCUUCCCAAGACGUCAAAGCAUGAAACGAGCCAUACAAGGCGUGGAACACCUAUUGUAACACCCCUUACCCGAGACCGUCGCCGGAAUCGAGUAAGAGAUGUUAUCCAAUUUAACUUACCGAUUCGGAGCAUAAAAAUUUGCCUUUAAAAUUAAAUUCACUGUUCACAACAAAACUGUCUACCUGCGUGACUUUCACUAAUUUAAUUAUAACUCGAGUUACAGAACUCAAAAUUUAAAUCCGUAAAUUUUCCCUGAAACUAGACUCAUAUUACUACUUACCAUAAAAUUUUCAGAAUUUUUGACUUGGCCAAUUAGUACAGUUUAUUCAUUAAAGUAUCCCCUGUUUCACAGCUCGACAGAUCUGACCUCUCGGCACUAAAAAUCAAUUAUCUCUUUGUACAGAAUACAUAUAAGGUUAUCGUUUGUUUCUUUUGAAAAUAGACUCACUAAGAAAUCUACAAAUAUAAAUUAUGACCCAUAAUUCUUUCUGUACAAUUUAUAAUGAUUUUUCAAAGUCAGAACAGGGGACUUCAAAAACCAUUCUGACCCUAUCUCACUAAAAUUAAAAUAUCUCAAAAUACAGAAUUCCUUUGCCUACACCGUUUCUUUCAUAUAAAAAUAGACUUGAUAAGCUUUAAUUAAAUAUAUAAUUCACUCUCUAAUUCCAUUUCUACUAUUUAUGGUGAUUUUUCACAUUCACGUCACUGCUGCUGUCAAAGAAACUGCUUCUUUGAAUUAGUUACCAUUUUAACAUACAUAACACCAAAACAUAUUCUUUAAUAGCUACUUCAAUAGCUAAUAUUAGCUAUAUCAUUUGAACAUGCUCAAAAGGAUCAAGACUCCAUACAUGCCAUAGUUUAAACAUUUUGAAAAGCNNNNNNNNNNNNNNNNNNNNNNNNNNNNNNNNNNNNNNNNNNNNNNNNNNNNNNNNNNNNNNNNNNNNNNNNNNNNNNNNNNNNNNNNNNNNNNNNNNNNNNNNNNNNNNNNNNNNNNNNNNNNNNNNNNNNNNNNNNNNNNNNNNNNNNNNNNNNNNNNNNNNNNNNNNNNNNNNNNNNNNNNNNNNNNNNNNNNNNNNNNNNNNNNNNNNNNNNNNNNNNNNNNNNNNNNNNNNNNNNNNNNNNNNNNNNNNNNNNNNNNNNNNNNNNNNNNNNNNNNNNNNNNNNNNNNNNNNNNNNNNNNNNNNNNNNNNNNNNNNNNNNNNNNNNNNNNNNNNNNNNNNNNNNNNNNNNNNNNNNNNNNNNNNNNNNNNNNNNNNNNNNNNNNNNNNNNNNNNNNNNNNNNNNNNNNNNNNNNNNNNNNNNNNNNNNNNNNNNNNNNNNNNNNNNNNNNNNNNNNNNNNNNNNNNNNNNNNNNNNNNNNNNNNNNNNNNNNNNNNNNNNNNNNNNNNNNNNNNNNNNNNNNNNNNNNNNNNNNNNNNNNNNNNNNNNNNNNNNNNNNNNNNNNNNNNNNNNNNNNNNNNNNNNNNNNNNNNNNNNNNNNNNNNNNNNNNNNNNNNNNNNNNNNNNNNNNNNNNNNNNNNNNNNNNNNNNNNNNNNNNNNNNNNNNNNNNNNNNNNNNNNNNNNNNNNNNNNNNNNNNNNNNNNNNNNNNNNNNNNNNNNNNNNNNNNNNNNNNNNNNNNNNNNNNNNNNNNNNNNNNNNNNNNNNNNNAUCUAGUAAACUUGUAAUUAACACUUCAAACAUUCAUUAUCUAACAUCACUAAUCAAUUUACAAUUAUAUCAUGAAUGGGUCAAUUUUUAAACUUUAAUUUCAUUUAAAUUAAAUGGUAGAAACAUGAAAUUCAAGCUUCAAUAAGCAUAAAAAUACGAAAAUAAUCAAAAACGGGGCAAGAAAUCACUUACAAUUGAGCUUAGGAAGUUCAAGAACCCUAGCUAUGGUGACAUGAAUUUUUUUGGCAGCAAACGUCUGAUUUUAAGAAGAUGAACACUUGUUUUCAUCUUUAUUUUGUCUUUUAUUCAAUUUGGACAAAAAUGCCCUUGACCCAUUACUUAGAUAUUUUUCUAGAAAUACCCUUUUGUGUCCAUAACACUAAUUCAUGGUCUAAUUGCCACAUAAACACUUCCAAUUUCAUGCAAUAAUUCAAUUAAGUCAUUUAAUCACUAAUUAGACACACUUUGCAUUUUUCUCAAUUUAGUCCUAAAAAUUCAAUUAAGCACUAAAGCAUUAAAAUUUUCUAUCCAUAUUUUCACACAAUAUUUCAAUCAAUCAGUAACUAAUAAAAAUUUAUAAAAUUAAACUAUUUCACUUCGGAUUUGUGGUUACGAAACCACUAUUCCGAUUAGGCCCUAUUUCGGGCUAUCACACCUAUCGUGCCGCACCAUGCAAGGCUGGGGCUAUUGUCGAGGCUAUUGUCAUCCGCACCUAUCGACGUGCUGCCAAAGUUUGCCGAGGCUAUUGUCGUUCGCACAAUCAAAUUUAUACAAAAAUCUAGGAUGUGGCAAAAAACCUAAUUUAAGCUACUAACACUCAUAUAACUAGAACCUUAGGGGUUUGAUGUAACUAAGUCGUCUUAAACACCUUCAAAACCCUCGUAGAUUAAGGGUAGGAUUAAACUUAGUUUUCUUUCAGCUUUUCAUAAACUCUUUGUUCUUUCCUUUUGGAAUCGAUUUUGAUCCAAUAGUCGUUUUAUAAUAUUGAAUUAUUUCAGUUAUUUGCUUUUGCGAGCGACGAUACUCGUUAUUCCAAUCAACAGAUUUACUACUCCAUUCUCCAAUCGACAUCAACUCCAGGAUUAUUCUAAUCUCUUUUCUCUAUCGACUCAAUUGUGUUAUUUAAAUGAGUGGCUAAAUCUCUUAAGAGAGAUUAACGAGUGGAUGUGGAUGUGAUUAAUGGAGGAUUUAGGGUUUCUCGAGAGGAUUAGUUGGUAGAGAUUACGCGUUCCUAAACCCCAGGCUUGACAACCCUAGGAAGUAAUCAUAGGUUAGAUGAGAUCAAAAGAUAAGUCUAAAAAAGAAAACCGUAGUUUAUCCUGGUUGAGAAAGUGAGGUUGGGAGAUAAGCGAGUAUCAACCAAUCGAUUUAUCAGUUAGAGGUCAGGAGGUAUAAUUGGUUAAUUGGUGACUAAUCAUCCCUAAAACCCUAAUCUGAAGUUAAUUACAAACCCUAAAACGAGUUAAUCUUCCUGAUUGCUUUUAUCGAAUUAGUGUUUGUUUAUUUUCUCGUUUAUUUAUUUUAACUAUUUAAUUUCUCUUAUUACUCCCUUUUAUGAUUUGUCGUAAUAUAAAAUUUAACUAUUACUAUUUAGACUUAUUAUUGUAAAAAAAAAAUUAUAUAUUUAUUUCAUCCUCCUUUGGGGUACGAUCCUCUGAAUACUUGUUGUGUUCCGUUGUAAAUACAUAUACUAUAUCACAAUUUGACCUGUAUACCUGUGGGCACCGCCGUUCUAAUUCUAUAAGUUUUGGUGUGCUAUUUUUACUAUAAACGAUAACACAUUUAUAAACAAUCAUUUGUACAUACCAUAUCUUUGUAUUCUUUUUAUUCAUGAUUCCUAUUAAUAAUAGUAUUUUUUUUCAAGUUAAUCUGAAAACUUCAACUAUUCAAACUAAACUUAAAAAGAAUAUAAUUAACUCAUUAAAAAUAAUAAUUAAAUUAAAAUUUUUUAAAUAAAAAUUUAAUAAUUUAUACUAAUUUUAUGGUUUUUUAAAAAGCAUAAAUUAUUAGUUGUUAGGAUCGUCCCGAUUAAGCAACAAACAAGUAAAAAUAGCAGAAGAAAUUGAGAAGAUGAACACACAAAUUUAACGUGGAAAAACCCCUCCAAAGAGGAUAAAAAACCACGGGCAAAGAUAAUUUUACUAUAAUGGCAAAAGAAUGAAGAGUACAAAAGAUGGAGAUAAAACUAAACCCUGAAAACCCGAAAAACAAAGAUCCCUCAAAACGUAAACACAAAAUUCUCUGAAUGUGUUAUGAGUUCUAAUCUAAUGGGUAUUAUUUCUAAGAUUGUAAAAGAGCCUAUUUAUAGGCUAAAUUAGUAAGUCAAAUAAACUACACUAAUAAAUGUCAAAUAUAUUAUACUAAUAAAUACUAAAUCUUCUAGAAAGAAAAUAUAUUUUUGUUUAACUUGACUUGCAAGCAAUCUCUUAGAAUUUGGGUCACACAACUCUAACAAUCUCCACCUCGACACGAAUUCUUUCAACACCAUCUUUGCCAAAACCCGCCACAGACCUAUCUUGAACCAUGCAGGGAAUUAAUUGAGUCGAAUCUAUGCUUAGAAGCUGGAAGACUUCUAGCCUUCGACUUAUGCACUGCCAAAUCAAAACUAACCCGGGUUUGAUUUUCACGAAUACAGUGCCCUAACUUUUCAAAACGUGCAUCCAAAAGAGAACCUCUCUUCAACGAAAUGGUCAUACCUUUUUCCCUCCUAUGACCAAGUUGCCUCCGCUCCAAACGAGUUGGCUUUGACUCCAUAACAGACGAGGGACGUCCAAUUUCACCGGUCACUGUAGAACCUUCCAGAAUAUAAAGACUGCCAGUUCUUUUACCUUUUAACAAAACGAGAGCUCCACGAGAUACUUUAAUGUCACUCGACUCGAUGUUGAUUCUGCAUCCUUUCAAGUCUAAAAUACUCAAGGACAUGAGAUUCUUUCGUAAAUCAGGUACAUACCUGACAUCUGAGAGUGUCCUAAUCGUCCCAUCAUGUAUCCUAACUUUAACAGUACCAAUACCUAUUAUCUUACUAGAUGAAACGUUUCCCAUAUGCACAACUCCACCUUCAACUGAACUGUAUGUGGAGAACCAUUCUUUAUUGGGACACAUGUGGAACGAAAAUUCUGAAUCUAGGAUCCACUCAGACUUAAGCUUGGAGUUGUCGCUCGUUGACACUAACAAGAAAUCAUCACCACCUUCAUCGACCAAAUUAGCACCAACUACAUCUUCCUCGUUACUCUCAGCAGCUCUUUUAUUUCGCAGUUUAAAAUAAUCUGCUUUGACGUGACCUAACCUUUUACAGUAGCGACACCUUUUGUCUCGUUUCUUUGAUGCUACCAAAACGGAAGCUUGCCUAUCUGCUUUGCUAUUCAAACCAAACUCAUUGUCGAGUUUGUCUCUACUCAAUAAAUGACCCUUCACAUCUUCGAACGAGAGUUUGUCUCUGCCAUAAAUCAAGGUCUCCCUGAAAGACUUGUAUGAAGAGGGUAAAGAGCACAAUAAUAGCAUAGCUUGAUCUUCAUCAUCAAUAUGAACCUCAACGUUCUUUAAAUCAUUUAAAAGAGUAAUGAAUUGACUGAUGUGAUCUUUAAGAAGCUCACAUUUGUUCAUGCGAAACGUAAAUAGACGUUGUUUUAACACUAAACGGUUAGCCAGAGACUUAGUCGCAUAAAGAGUUUCAAACCUUUUCCAUAAGGCGAAUGAGGUCUUCUCCAUCAAUACCUCCUACAAUACUGUAUUCGCGAGGCACAAUUGGAUUGCAGACAAGGCCUUUUCAUCAAGCUCUUCCCAUUCUGUUUGAUUUAGAUUCUCAGGCUUUUUCCCUGUAACAACCUUUUUCAAGCCGUUUUGAACUAGAAUUGCCAUCAUCCGAACUUGCCACAAAUUGAAAUUUGUCUCACUAUCGAACUUCUCAAUUUCAAACCUCGUUGCUGCCAUCUCUGAACGGGCUGAUCUAUGAAAAUUGAACUAGCUCUGAUACCACUUGUUAGGAUCGUCUCGAUUAAGCAACAAACAAGUAAAAAUAGCAUAAGAAAUUAAGAAGAUGAACACACAAAUUUAACGUGGAAAAACCCCUCCAAAGAGGAUAAAAACCACGGGCAAAGAUAAUUUUACUAUAAUGGCAAAAGAAUGAAGAGUACAAAAGAUGGAGAUAAAACUAAACCCCGAAAACCCGAAAAACAAAGAUCCCUCAAAAUGUAAACACAAAAUUCUCUGAAUGUGUUAUGAGUUCUAAUCUAAUGGGUAUUAUUUCUAAGAUUGUAAAAGAGCCUACUUAUAGGCUAAAUUAGUAAGUCAAAUAAACUACACUAAUAAAUGUCAAAUAUAUUAUACUAAUAAAUACUAAAUCUUUUAGAAAGAAAAUAUAUUUUGUUUAACUUGACUUGCAAGCAAUCUCUUAGAAUUUGGGUCACACAACUCUAACAUUAGUAAAAUAAUUCUGUUCUUAUACAAAAAAUUCACUACCAUCUCUUCAUAGGUUUUAGUUGUAUAAAUUUACAAAAACAAAUCUAAUUUCUCACCCCCAUCUGCAUGCGAAAAAACCCUACAUUACACGUACUCGCCAUGCAAAGGCCUAAAUCCAUUAUAAACACCCUUUCAUCCGCCGCCAAUCAAUUCAGUUAUAUUUAUCAAUCAACCAUGGCAAAGCUCGCUCUCCUCGUAGCCACUUUCGCUCUCGCUUUCUUCCUCGUCAACGCCUCCAUCUACCGCACCACAAUCACCCUUGACAGCUACGAAGAAAACCGGUUCGACGCGGUGAGUCGUCGUGUUAAUACCAGAUAAGGAAGCUACACUACCUCGAACGGUGUCAGUGGUACAUGCAACAAGAGACCGGCGGCAUUAGCACAUACAACACCCAACUCCUCAACUCGUGCUGCGACCAGCUCCAGAACCUGGACGAGGGUAGCCGGAGCACAGGCUUGAAACAGGCGGUGAGGGAACAGCUGCAGGAAGGACAGUGGGAGAGUGAAGAGGCUAAAGAUAUGUUUGAAGUUGCGGAGAGGGAACUGAGGAAGUGUGAUUUAGAGCCUAGGAGAUGCGAUAUGCAAUCUCGAAGAUGGUUUUAGAUAUAAAAUCUAAGACCCUAAAAUGCUAAACGGAAAAUAAG